Molecule: ribosomal RNA, 685 nt
Filed under: uncultured bacterium
Lineage: Bacteria
Description: partial 16S ribosomal RNA
Rfam family: Bacterial small subunit ribosomal RNA
Source: RNAcentral
CUGNCGUUGCUUACACAUGCAAGUCGAACGGUARCAGGCCUUCGGGCGCUGACGAGUGGCGGACGGGUGAGUAACGCGUAGGAAUCUGCCUGRUAGUGGGGGACAACKURGGGAAACYYAMGCUAAUACCGCAUACGCUCCUUGUUGCAMGAUGGGGAGGAAAGCGGGGGAUCCUGUUCUUCGGAAUSGGACCUCGCGCUAUCAGAUGAGCCUGCGUUAGAUUAGCUAGUUGGUGGGGUAAAGGCCUACCAAGGCGACGAUCUAUAGCUGGUCUGAGAGGACGAUCAGCCACACUGGGACUGAGACACGGCCCAGACUCCUACGGGAGGCAGCAGUGGGGAAUAUUGGACAAUGGGCGCAAGCCUGAUCCAGCAAUACCGCGUGUGUGAAGAAGGCCYKAGGGUUGUAAAGCACUUUCAAUGGGGAGGAAAACCUGCCGGUCAAUACCCGGCAGCUUGACAUUACCURUAGAAGAAGCACCGGCUAACUCCGUGCCAGCAGCCGCGGUAAUACGGAGGGUGCGAGCGUUAAUCGGAAUUACUGGGCGUAAAGCGUGCGUAGGYGGUKMRUUAAGUCAGAUGUGAAAGCCCYGGGCUUAACCUGGGAACKGCAUUUGAWACUGGYKWACUMGAGUUKAGUAGAGGGGAGUGGAACUUCAGGUGUAGCGGUGAAAUGCGUAGAUAUC